This 87-nucleotide non-coding RNA is filed under the name uncultured Psychrobacillus sp. RNAcentral's name for it is "pan motif". It matches the Rfam family "pan motif". The record is from RNAcentral. Lineage: Bacteria; Bacillati; Bacillota; Bacilli; Caryophanales; Bacillaceae.
GGGUAGUAUCUUUAGUGAGAACUACACCUAUAUUAUUGUUAAAAAAAUUUAAUAGUCUGCCUUGAUCUUAGAUUGACAGGGACGGAG